RNAcentral lists this long non-coding RNA (437 nucleotides) under Manacus vitellinus (golden-collared manakin). RNAcentral describes it as "lncRNA (ENSMVIG00005012817.1)". The record is from RNAcentral. Lineage: Eukaryota; Metazoa; Chordata; Aves; Passeriformes; Pipridae.
UUUAUUAUUUUUAUAGCACUUAUUCAUUUAGGAUUUUAAAUAGCUUCAUUUUGUAGACGACAUUACUUUGAAAAGAAGAGAAUAAAUUCAAGAAGAAAGUCAAGUAGAAACUGCAAAUCUAGAAUAUUCUGCAUCAGCUUAUUUACAAGGAGAGGGAAUUGGGAGUGAGGAUUUAAAUAAAAAAGGCACAGCUCUGUGACUAAGGCCUCAGCUUACAGGAAGAGUCAGAAAUGACAGAUAUCUUUGGCUGCUGUUACAGUGUGGAUGUCCAGUGUAUUCAAACAACUUGAUGGGAUCUGGAACACUUAGGAUAAGGAGGAGGCAGCUGAGACGAAAGUAAAAGGUAUCCCCAGCAGACUGAAGAAAAAGCUGUUUCACAAUUUCUGAAACUUUUCUUAAGCUUGUCCUUACAAUGCCAGGUAAGAACCCAAUGCAGA